This 252-nucleotide ribosomal RNA is filed under the name uncultured bacterium. Its description in RNAcentral is "partial 16S ribosomal RNA". It matches the Rfam family "Bacterial small subunit ribosomal RNA", at positions 524 to 776 of the family's 1533-position model. The record is from RNAcentral.
UACGGAGGGCGCAAGCGUUGUUCGGAAUCACUGGGCGUAAAGCGCGUGUAGGCGGCUUGGUAAGUCGGGUGUGAAAGCCCGGGCCUAACCCCGGAACUGCACUCGAAACUGCCUCGCUCGAGUCCCGGAGAGGAUGGUGGAAUUCCCGGUGUAGUGGUGAAAUACGUAGAUAUCGGGAGGAACACCAGCGGCGAAGGCGGCCAUCUGGACGGUGACUGACGCUGAGACGCGAAAGCGUGGGGAGCAAACAGG